UUAUUUUUUGGAUUAAUUAAAUAGAUUUGUGUUAGUUUUUAUAAGGUUUUUAGUGAUUUAAAACUUGUUAGGCCUCUUGGUCAGUCUAAUACUUAAUGGGCCUUUUUUGUGAGCCAACUAAAGUUUACAUAUGUGAGAUUUAGUCCUGCAAAGCCAACUAAAAUUUACAUAUGUGAGGUUUAGUCCCACAUUGAAAACUAAAUGUGUGUUAUUAUUAUUUAUAUAUUAUUUUAUUUUCAAGCUAGAUCUUUGGAAGAAAAUGAGAGUUAUAUUCUCGAUUAAACACACGGACUGGGCGGGCGUUGAAACAAGAUUCUUGCCUUGCUUAUAUAUAUUGGGAACCUUGUUAGAUUGUCUUACACUAUCUUGAAAGCAUGCCGACGGAGUGAAACGUGAUCGUUAUAUUGCUGGAAGUAAUUGCUGGGAAAUCUUUUUUAAUCAUUUUUUUUACAGUAUUUAUUAUUUAAUUUUUCUCUCGAAAUUUUUUUAAAACUGAAAUUUAAACUUUUGAAUUAUUUUUUAAAAAAUAAUUUAAUAAA
This 539-nucleotide long non-coding RNA is filed under the name Ananas comosus (pineapple). RNAcentral describes it as "long non-coding RNA (ACOM_LNC019173)". The record is from RNAcentral. Lineage: Eukaryota; Viridiplantae; Streptophyta; Magnoliopsida; Poales; Bromeliaceae.